GGAUGGGGGCGGCGCCGCGGGGACUGCGGCACCGCGAGGGGGAGCUGGGGCGCGGUGCGAGGUGCGGGGGCGCUCCGGCCUGACUGCUGACUGCAGGGAGGGCGCCCGGCACCUUCGUCCGGCGGCCAAGGGCGGUGUCGCGGCAUCGGGCCCAGCCAGCCGCGGUCGGCUCGAUCCACGGACGCUACCCCACCCUUGAACUGGGUCCUUCAGUAAACUGCAUCCACACCCACCUUUCCACUCUGGAUACCCGAGAGGGGCUGGAAACCUGGGUCGCGGAACCAGGGGGAGGGGCUGCCUCCAAAAGGGGUCCUCGCCUCCUCGGAAGGCUCGGAAAAGGAGACUCAAAGAGCUGACUAGCUACAAAGCUAGUAAGUGAGGACAUCUAGAUUCCUUCUACAAAGACAAAGCCCAGGACAUCUUGGACUCUUCAUGACCAGCCAAGCUUGGUCCCCUCCAGAGAAUGGCCCUGCCCCAGGUAACUUCACCAAUAGCACAGUGCCACAAAGAUUUUCUGGAGAUAAUUGCCUCUGGCCUUGUUGUUGCCUUCAAGAUGGGGACUUGGGGCCAAAUAGCAGAAGAUGUGACCUGAUAGGGACCUUACUGGGGACAUGGGACCCUGACAGGGGUGCUUUUCCCUACCUGUGGAGGGCUAGAUCACCCUCACGGAUGGUGCCCCCUCUGCUUUGUUUUGGUUGGGUCCUUAAGCACAUCACCUACCUUCUCUGAGCCUCUGUUACCAUAUCCGAAACAUGGAAAUCUGUUUUUGUUAUGUUGUGUAUGUGAGACACAAUGUGAGCUGGACGUUUAGUGAACAUGCAGUCAAUAAAUAAAUGACAACAUUGAUUACAGCAGGCCCAGGCACAUGAGGACUGCCCGUGGAUUACUGGCAACAAAUGUCCUUGGCCGAGGCUCCCUCCUCCCGCCACCCAGUCUGCACCCAGCCUGCUUUCUCCUCUGCUCACUCCUCCCCCAGUCCCCGCCCCUGUUGUCUGUUGGAAUAUAAUCAAAGAAGCACACAGGCAGAUUUUUAAAUAAUGCCUGCCCAGCCUCAGGUGACUCAUCCGAUGGCUGUGAGCUCCAACUCUCCUCCAUGUGGGCGUCGCCAGCACCACCACAUUGUCACACAGCAAAGCUAUGCUGCACAGCACCCAUGCAGAUGAUAACAGGGGAAACGAGGCCCACUGAUCCUCCCCUUCCCUGGAAUAGGCUUUUGGCAAGCUUUGGGGAAAGGUGGUUUUCUCCCCUACGCUCCCGUGUAAAAAGGAGCAGAUCUUCUGGCUGUUGGGCAGGGUGGUGGGGGAGGAGAGCCAACAUCCUCCUGCCACCUGUCAUUUCCUGCUUUGGACUUGAUGUCACUGUCGAGUGUUUGAGCCAUCCCUGCCCUGAAGGCACUUUGGGGUGAUGAUGACAAAAUUCAGACUGGAAAGGAAAGGAGUGAAUUCCCAGUAGAAGGCUGGGCCGGGCCUGCAUUUUACAGAGGGACUCAGGAUCUCACGUUUCGCUCUGCUGGGAUGUUCUUAUUUCCUGCCUUCCAUGAGAGGAAUCUUGUGAAAGCACCCUGGAGAUGUGGGAUGAUGAUGAACAUUGCUCUCAGUGGAUGCCAUCUCUAACGCGACGCAUGUGAUCUGGUUGAGAGAGAUUUAAUUGGGAUUCUGAAAUUUUGAGCAUCAGUAGAAUAAUGAAAACCCAAGAGCCAUUCCAGCAGUAAAGUUGUAUGAAUUAUUCGG
Felis catus (domestic cat) is the source of this 1730-nucleotide long non-coding RNA. RefSeq lists it as uncharacterized. The transcript has 3 exons. Lineage: Eukaryota; Metazoa; Chordata; Mammalia; Carnivora; Felidae. The record is from RefSeq and is a predicted model, not a curated record.